RNAcentral lists this long non-coding RNA (754 nucleotides) under Olea europaea (common olive). RNAcentral describes it as "long non-coding RNA (OEUR_LNC003834)". The record is from RNAcentral. Lineage: Eukaryota; Viridiplantae; Streptophyta; Magnoliopsida; Lamiales; Oleaceae.
CACCGCCGUAUGAUGGGACCCAGUUAUAGAACAACAUAGGAUUCUCUACUCGGUCAUAUCACUAGGCAGAUCUUCCGAUCAGAACAAGCCGCGUGUCCAUAUAUACGGUGUUUCAAUUGAAUAUGGUAACUGUUUGUAGAAAAUUUGGCGGGCAAUUUUACUGCAAAAGAAAUUCAAAAAGUCCAUACCAAAACCCUAGGCGGCCCCCCAAAUUCAUUUCCCUCCUUAACUCCAAAUCUCUCUUUUUCUCUCUCUAGAAAACUUCUCUCUCUCUCUCUCUGAAUUCGUUUUUCUUUUUUUCUUCCUUUUAUUUUUAUAAUUCAGCGAUUCUCCGGUGGUAUCAGGUUUGUUCGCUUUGAUUUUGUUCUCUGACUUUUGAAGUUUUUCGUAUUCAUGAAUUGAACUUUGAACUCUGAUCCUUCGUCUUCACGGUUUAGUUGUCCGUCUGUUUUUGUGCUUUUGUAUAUUAGUUAGAUGGAUUUGUUUCAUUUCAGGAUUACUGUGGUUUGAAUGAUAUCUAGGUUAUGCUGACUAAUUAGAUUUUGGGUAUAAAAUGCAGGAUUAUUGUUUUUUAGGUUUGAAAGAUUGAGGUUAGAAUGUAAUCCAGUGAGAUUAAGAAAAAUUGGAAGUAAAUAGGUCAAAAGUAUGGGGAAGGUUUCUCUAUAUGAAAGGGAAUCCCAAAAUGGAAGACAGAAAAGGCGGUUGAGAAAUGGAAACAAGAAGUAUCUGAAACCUGGUGCCCUUGGCCAACNNN